UGCUUUAUCGACCACUGCGCAUACGCGGAAAAGAAAACCAAAAGGAGCAGAACACGAGCAGCUAGCAACGGAAAACGGCACGCCAAAAUCCCACAUAGUAGAGCUUAGCAUCUACAGCAAACAAAAGUAGAUCAAAGCAUCCCCAUCCAACUGUUCAUCCGAGAGAUAAUAAUAACACUUCCGAAAAAAGAAAAAAAACGCACUUAACGAGACAUCUAUACGUACUACCCAUCCACGGCCCAGAGUUAACACGGCCCGAGUUUUAAUCACACGACGCCUUAUCCACGAUCGACGACAGAGCAAUGAAACCAGAACAAUGAUAGGCAGUCCAGAACAAAGUUACUG
This 345-nucleotide long non-coding RNA is filed under the name Brachypodium distachyon (stiff brome). RNAcentral describes it as "long non-coding RNA (BDIS_LNC003740)". The record is from RNAcentral. Lineage: Eukaryota; Viridiplantae; Streptophyta; Magnoliopsida; Poales; Poaceae.